Molecule: ribosomal RNA, 440 nt
Filed under: uncultured bacterium
Lineage: Bacteria
Description: partial 16S ribosomal RNA
Rfam family: Bacterial small subunit ribosomal RNA
Source: RNAcentral
CCUACGGGUGGCAGCAGUAGGGAAUAUUGCUCAAUGGGGGAAACCCUGAAGCAGCAACGCCGCGUGGAGGAUGAAGGUCUUCGGAUUGUAAACUCCUUUUGUUAGAGAAGAAAAAGACGGUGUCUAACGAAGAAGCACCUGCUAACUCCGUGCCAGCAGCCGCGGUAAUACGGAGGGGGCAAGCGUUACUCGGAAUCACUGGGCGUAAAGAGGGCGUAGGUGGGAUAGCAAGUCAGAUGUGAAAUCCUAGGGCUUAACCAUAGUACUGCAUUUGAAACUGUUAUUCUAGAGUGUGGGAGAGGUAGGUGGAAUGCGUGGUGUAGCGGUGAAAUCCGUAGAGAUCACGAGGAACACCGAUUGCGAAGGCGACCUGCUAGAACAUAACUGACGCUGAUGCGCGAAAGCGUGGGGAGCAAACAGGAUUAGAUACCCGAGUAGUC